This is a long non-coding RNA of Lolium rigidum, 526 nucleotides long. RefSeq lists it as uncharacterized. The transcript has 5 exons. The record is from RefSeq and is a predicted model, not a curated record. NCBI's taxonomy places the organism in Eukaryota, Viridiplantae, Streptophyta, Magnoliopsida, Poales, Poaceae.
CAUCCUCCUCCCGUCGCCAGCCAUCUUCGCCGGAUGUUGAGAACCAGGGACGGCGGAGGCAGGUCGAGAACCAGGGACGGCGGAGGCAGGAGGUUUCGCCGGCGGAGAUUUUGUCAUGAUGUAGCUGACCAUGGAAAGUAUUAUUCUGAUGAUGGGGACAUUGAAGGAGACAGUGUGUAUAGCGACAGUGAUGGUUUGGAAUAUAGACCAAGAGACACUAUCUGGUAGACAAUUUCAUCCACCUUUGGGAAUUGAUAAUAAACAAAGAGCAUAAUUUUGCAAGUUUCAAAGUCAUGUAUCCCAAUGUGCCUAAGCAACAGACGCCGCAUGACUGUGGUAUUUUUGCAAUGAAAUAUAUGGAGAUUUGGAAGCCAUUUCUUGACCUGCGCACGUAUUUUUCUGACAAUGACAUCCUGAACAUAAGGAUUCAGUAUGCAAUCAAGCUUUACUUCCUUGGUGAAAAUGAAGCAGAUUUGAGAGUAGUUACAGAUUUCUAUUCUCAGUGAAGCCUGAUAAGUGAAGCCUG